Caenorhabditis elegans is the source of this 139-nucleotide non-coding RNA. The record is from Ensembl. NCBI's taxonomy places the organism in Eukaryota, Metazoa, Nematoda, Chromadorea, Rhabditida, Rhabditidae.
AACACAAAAUUGCCCUUGCCUACCCAUCCAUUCCGCUCACGUUUUUUUUUCAACGGAAUCGAGGCUAUCCACACAUAGGAACUAGUUUCUUUCACUUCAUCCGCUUGUUACAUCUUGAAUACCGCGACUGACUGUCCAC